GAUGAACGCUGGCGGCGUGCCUAAUACAUGCAAGUCGAGCGAACGGACGAGAAGCUUGCUUUUCUGAUGUUAGCGGCGGACGGGUGAGUAACACGUGGAUAACCUACCUAUAAGACUGGGAUAACUUCGGGAAACCGGAGCUAAUACCGGAUAAUAUUUUGAACCGCAUGGUUCAUAAGUGAAAGACGGUCUUGCUGUCACUUAUAGAUGGAUCCGCGCUGCAUUAGCUAGUUGGUAAGGUAACGGCUUACCAAGGCAACGAUGCAUAGCCGACCUGAGAGGGUGAUCGGCCACACUGGAACUGAGACACGGUCCAGACUCCUACGGGAGGCAGCAGUAGGGAAUAUUCCGCAAUGGGCGAAAGCCUGACGGAGCAACGCCGCGUGAGUGAUGAAGGUCUUCGGAUCGUAAAACUCUGUUAUUAGGGAAGAACAUAUGUGUAAGUAACUGUGCACAUCUUGACGGUACCUAAUCAGAAAGCCACGGCUAACUACGUG
This 497-nucleotide ribosomal RNA is filed under the name uncultured bacterium. RNAcentral's name for it is "partial 16S ribosomal RNA". It matches the Rfam family "Bacterial small subunit ribosomal RNA", at positions 28 to 507 of the family's 1533-position model. The record is from RNAcentral.